RNAcentral lists this ribosomal RNA (497 nucleotides) under uncultured bacterium. RNAcentral describes it as "partial 16S ribosomal RNA". It matches the Rfam family "Bacterial small subunit ribosomal RNA", at positions 28 to 507 of the family's 1533-position model. The record is from RNAcentral.
GACGAACGCUGGCGGCGUGCCUAAUACAUGCAAGUCGAGCGCUGAAGGCUGGUACUUGUGCCAACUGGAUGAGCAGCGAACGGGUGAGUAACGCGUGGGGAAUCUGCCUUUGAGCGGGGGACAACAUUUGGAAACGAAUGCUAAUACCGCAUAAAAACUUUAAACACAAGUUUUAAGUUUGAAAGAUGCAAUUGCAUCACUCAAAGAUGAUCCCGCGUUGUAUUAGCUAGUUGGUGAGGUAAAGGCUCACCAAGGCGAUGAUACAUAGACGACCUGAGAGGGUGGUCGGCCACAUUGGGACGGAGACACGGCCCAAAGUGCUUCGGAAAGGAGCAGUAGGGAAACGUCGGCAAGGGGCGGAAGUCUGUCCGAGAAACGCCGCGUGAGGGAAGAAGGUUGUCGGAUCGGAAAACUCUGUUGGUAGGGAAGAACGUUGGUGAGAGUGGAAAGCUCAUCAAGUGACGGUAACUACCCAGAAAGGAACGGCUAACUACGUG